GAUGAACGCUGGCGGCGUGCUUAACACAUGCAAGUCGAACGGAAAGGCUCCUGCUUUCAGGGGUACUCGAGUGGCGAACGGGUGAGUAACACGUGGGUUAUCUGCCCUGCACUUCGGGAUAAGCCUGGGAAACUGGGUCUAAUACCGGAUAGGACGAUUGUUUGGAUGCCAUUGUGGAAAGUUUUUUCGGUGUGGGAUGAGCUCGCGGCCUAUCAGCUUGUUGGUGGGGUAAUGGCCUACCAAGGCGUCGACGGGUAGCCGGCCUGAGAGGGUGGACGGCAACAUUGGGACUGAGAUACGGCCCAGACUCCUACGGGAGGCAGCAGUGGGGAAUAUUGCACAAUGGGCGCAAGCCUGAUGCAGCGACGCCGCGUGGGGGAUGACGGCCUUCGGGUUGUAAACUCCUUUCGCUAGGGACGAAGCGCAAGUGACGGUACCUGGAGAAGAAGCACCGGCUAACUACGUG
Molecule: ribosomal RNA, 466 nt
Filed under: uncultured bacterium
Lineage: Bacteria
Description: partial 16S ribosomal RNA
Rfam family: Bacterial small subunit ribosomal RNA
Source: RNAcentral